Molecule: ribosomal RNA, 1477 nt
Filed under: uncultured bacterium
Lineage: Bacteria
Description: 16S ribosomal RNA
Rfam family: Bacterial small subunit ribosomal RNA
Source: RNAcentral
AGAGUUUGAUCCUGGCUCAGCGCGAACGCUGGCGGCAUGGCUAAAGCAUGCAAGUCGAACGCGAAUUCACCUUCGGGUGAUAGUAGAGUGGCGAACGGGCGAGUAAUACUUUCCUAACGUACCCCAGGGCCGGGGAUAGCCAGCCGAAAGGCUGGGUAAUACCCGAUGACCCCGCGAGGCCGCAUGGCCUAGCGGGCAAAGGCUUGCUUCCUUGGGAUCGGGGAAAGCACUAUCAGGUAGUUGGUAGGGUAACGGCCUACCAAGCCUAAGACGGUUAGCGGGUGUGAGAGCAUGACCCGCCGCAUCGGGACUGAGACACUGCCCGGACUCCUACGGGAGGCUGCAGCGACGAAUCUUCCGCAAUGGGCGCAAGCCUGACGGAGCAAUGCCGCGUGUGGGAUGAAGCCUUUCGGGGUGUAAACCACUGUCAGGGUUUAGCAACACAAAUGAGCAAACCCAAAGGAAGAGGCGGCUAACUCUGUGCCAGCAGCCGCGGUAAUACAGAGGCCUCGAGCGUUGCGCGGAAUCACUGGGCUUAAAGGGUGCGCAGGCGGAAGCGUAAGUGUCUUGUGAAAGCCCACGGCUCAACCGUGGAACGGCAGGGCAUACUGCGCUUCUUGAGGCUGGUAGGGGCUGCCGGAACUGUAGGUGUAGCGGUGAAAUGCGUAGAUAUCUACAGGAACGCCGAUGGUGAAGACGGGCAGCUGGGCCAGUUCUGACGCUCAUGCACGAAAGCGUGGGGAUCAAACAGGAUUAGAUACCCUGGUAGUCCACGCCGUAAACGAUGCACACGUGGUCUCGGAAACUCUGACGUUCCCGGGACCGAAGUAAAAACGAUGAGUGUGCCGCCUGGGGAGUACGGUCGCAAGAUUAAAACUCAAAGGAAUUGACGGGGGCUCACACAAGCGGUGGAGCAUGUGGCUUAAUUCGAAGCAACGCGAAGAACCUUAUCCAAGGCUUGACAUGCACGGAUUAACUCCCCGAAAAGGGAGCCACACCCUCUGGGUGGAACGUGCACAGGUGCUGCAUGGCUGUCGUCAGCUCGUGCUGUGAAGUGUCGGGUUAAGUCCUCUAACGAGCGAAACCCCUGCCUCUAGUUGCCAUCGGGUCAUGCCGGGCACUCUAGCGGGACUGCCGGUGUUAAACCGGAGGAAGGUGGGGAUGACGUCAAGUCCUCAUGGCCUUUAUGCCUUGGGCUGCACACGUGCUACAAUGGCGACCACAAAGCGACGCAAUGCCGCGAGGCGGAGCAAAUCGCACAAAAGUCGCCCCAGUUCAGAUUGGAGUCUGCAACUCGACUCCAUGAAGUCGGAAUCGCUAGUAAUCGCGGAUCAGCUACGCCGCGGUGAAUAAGUUCCUGAGCCUUGUACACACCGCCCGUCAAGUCAUGGAAGCCGGAAAUACCCAAAGUGGUGGUAAUUCAACCAUCCCUACGGUAGGUUCGGUGACUGGGACUAAGUCGUACAAGGUAGCCGUA